GAUGAACGCUGGCGGCGUGCCUAAUACAUGCAAGUCGAGCGAACGGACGAGAAGCUUGCUUCUCUGAUGUUAGCGGCGGACGGGUGAGUAACACGUGGAUAACCUACCUAUAAGACUUGGAUAACUUCGGGAAACCGUAGCUAAUACCGGAUAAUAUUUUGAACCGCAUGGUUCAAAAGUGAAAGACGGUCUUGCUGUCACUUAUAGAUGGAUCCGCGCUGCAUUAGCUAGUUGGUAAGGUAACGGCUUACCAAGGCAACGAUGCAUAGCCGACCUGAGAGGGUGAUCGGACACACUGGAACUGAGACACGGUCCAGAAUCCUACGGGAGGCAGCAGUAGGGAAUCUUCCGCAAUGGGCGAAAGCCUGACGGAGAAACGCCGCGUGAGUGAUGAAGGUCUUCGGAUCGUAAAACUCUGUUAUUAGGGAAGAACAUAUGUGUAAGUAACUGUGCACAUCUUGACGGUACCUAAUCAGAAAGCCACGGAUAACUACGUG
This 497-nucleotide ribosomal RNA is filed under the name uncultured bacterium. RNAcentral describes it as "partial 16S ribosomal RNA". It matches the Rfam family "Bacterial small subunit ribosomal RNA", at positions 28 to 507 of the family's 1533-position model. The record is from RNAcentral.